AGCAGUAGCCGCGGGAAUACGUAGGUCCCGAGCGUUGUCCGGAUUUAUUGGGCGUAAAGCGAGCGCAGGCGGUUAGAUAAGUCUGAAGUUAAAGGCAUUGGCUCAACCAAUGUAUGCUUUGGAAACUGUUAGACUUGAGUGCAGAAGGGGAGAGUGGAAUUCCAUGUGUAGCGGUGAAAUGCGUAGAUAUAUGGAGGAACACCGGUGGCGAAAGCGGCUCUCUGGUCUGUCACUGACGCUGAGGCUCGAAAGCGUGGGUAGCGAACAGGAUUAGAUACCCCAGUAGUCCCUGUCUCUUAUACC
This 303-nucleotide ribosomal RNA is filed under the name uncultured bacterium. Its description in RNAcentral is "partial 16S ribosomal RNA". It matches the Rfam family "Bacterial small subunit ribosomal RNA", at positions 507 to 808 of the family's 1533-position model. The record is from RNAcentral.